CGGCGGACGGGUGAGUAACACGUGGAUAACCUACCUAUAAGACUGGGAUAACUUCGGGAAACCGGAGCUAAUACCGGAUAAUAUAUUGAACCGCAUGGUUCAAUAGUGAAAGACGGUUUUGCUGUCACUUAUAGAUGGAUCCGCGCCGCAUUAGCUAGUUGGUAGGGUAACGGCUUACCAAGGCAACGAUGCGUAGCCGACCUGAGAGGGUGAUCGGCCACACUGGAACUGAGACACGGUCCAG
Molecule: ribosomal RNA, 244 nt
Filed under: uncultured Staphylococcus sp.
Lineage: Bacteria; Bacillati; Bacillota; Bacilli; Caryophanales; Staphylococcaceae
Description: partial 16S ribosomal RNA
Rfam family: Bacterial small subunit ribosomal RNA
Source: RNAcentral